GUGGGUACACAUGAACAUAUGAGCGUCGCUAAACCCUCACCCAGUCACCCCAAAACCUCCUCUCUACCCAAGUACGAGUACAAAACAAACUCUAAUCGCUGUAGAGAUCUAAAUCCCAGACCGAUACAGCACCGAAAGCGAUGUUAUCGGGCGUUGCGAGGUCCGUUCUCCGCUCCAGUGCAGCUAGAACCUCAGCGGCGGCAGCGAGGUUCGCUUCGGCGCCAAAACCUAAAGGCAUGCCCUCCUUCUCUCCCUUGCGCAAUUCCAAACAGAAGCCCCUCUCUCAUCGCCUUUUCAGGAGAUCACCUGUGGAGAUGAGCUGCAGUGUGGAAUCAAUGUUGCCGUAUCACUCUGCCACUGCCUCUGCUUUGUUGAAUUCAAUGCUCUCCGCCUCUCACCACCGCUAUGGUUGGACACUUGAAGAUUGCGAUGAUGAUGUAUGAUGAAUGUCAAGAUGGUUCGAGCAAAGUUUUUGUACAUGCGCUCUAAUACAAGAUGGAUGAUUGUUCUCUCUUGGGAUGCAGUGCAAUUGACCAUCGUUUUUCAUGGAUUUCAAAGGAACUUUCUUGGACUUGCCAGGGCAUUAAUAUCAUAAAUCAUAAUGUUCUUCAACCAUACUGAGGUUGUACCUUGUGGAGAGUUAUCAAUUUGCAUUCCCCAACUUCAAUUUUGAUAACUGUUUUACUGCAUUGCUUUCUGUAAUUUAUAUAUGCUGUUCAUGAACCUUUCAGAGAACUGAUUUACCUGCUUCAGAUGCUUUGUGAUAGGGGAGCUUAGUAGUUCCUAAAUAUUUCGUGGAGUGGUGACAUAUUUGAAAAUAAAACAGUAUAUUCUUGGUUA
Molecule: RNA transcript, 840 nt
Organism: Tripterygium wilfordii
Lineage: Eukaryota; Viridiplantae; Streptophyta; Magnoliopsida; Celastrales; Celastraceae
Gene name: protein NUCLEAR FUSION DEFECTIVE 6, mitochondrial-like
Exons: 4
Source: RefSeq, a predicted model, not a curated record